Molecule: long non-coding RNA, 207 nt
Filed under: Vigna radiata
Lineage: Eukaryota; Viridiplantae; Streptophyta; Magnoliopsida; Fabales; Fabaceae
Description: long non-coding RNA (VRAD_LNC008879)
Source: RNAcentral
CACAUAUCUAUUUCAAAGGAUUUUUCAUUUGAUGAGCAUUGGUUUCCUUAUUCUGAUUUAUUUCCUAAAUUACCAAACUCUAUUAAAGAUCUUAGUCAGUACUUUACAGUAAAUUCAAAGUUUUGACCACCUCAACAACUUGAAAAUUCAGUACCGUGCACUUCCAUAUCAUGUCACAGUGAUUCAACACUAAAUGUUUCCCCUUCU